This 257-nucleotide long non-coding RNA is filed under the name Danio rerio (zebrafish). RNAcentral describes it as "lncRNA (ENSDARG00000117435.1)". Lineage: Eukaryota; Metazoa; Chordata; Actinopteri; Cypriniformes; Danionidae. The record is from RNAcentral.
UCAUUUACAUCUAUUUCUUCAUCAAAAUGUCCCAUCAGCCUCUGCCACAACAAACUUUCCAUCUACUGAGUCUCCCACAUCGGUUCCUUCAAAAUCUCCUGCCAGUCCGAGUGCUUCUACAGCUGAGACUCAAACAACAGAACCUACAACACCGUCUGCAAGUGCAAGCCCUUCAGAUUCUCAAACAGCAGAACCCACAAGUAAGUAAUACACAAGUACAAAUGUAUGUAAAGUAUUCCAGGAAUGUUUAACCAUUC